UUUCCCAUCGGCGCGGAGGCCCGGCGAUGAUGGCGGCGCAUGCAUGGCGGAGCCGGUGCGGCCGAGAGAGGAGCAGAACCGGGGGGCGCUCGCGUGGACGGCCCAGUGUGAGCGACAACAACAACGGCGCUCGUGCGCAUGGCGCGGCGGCGAUGGCAUGAUGCUCGCAAGCACGGCGCGUGCAGCGGCGGCUUCCGGGCGUAGCGACAAAAGGCAGAGUCACGCACACACGCGCACGCAUGGCUGAAACCCCCAUGGAGCGGUGGCGACGACGACAAUUACUGCUAUUUCCGGCGAGUUUCCUACAACCCGGCAAUUUGUUUACCAGAUCGAGUUUAAUUAAAUUCAGUAAAAGUCGUGGAUUCUUUCUGAUCUAAGGAUUUUGUUGCUUGAUAUAUUUUGGGAAUUUCAUCAAUUAGAUUGAGUCGGAUUCUAACUAAUUUAUAGGGUUUCCUGCGGAUGUGCGCAUAGAUUAAAAGAAAACUAUUGCACAUAAACAGUAAAGAUGAACCCUAGUUCAAUCUAACAGAAGAACAAGCCUAUAAACAUUUAUUU
This 555-nucleotide long non-coding RNA is filed under the name Oryza brachyantha (malo sina). RNAcentral's name for it is "long non-coding RNA (OBRA_LNC000477)". Lineage: Eukaryota; Viridiplantae; Streptophyta; Magnoliopsida; Poales; Poaceae. The record is from RNAcentral.